UGGGGAAUAUUGCACAAUGGGCGCAAGCCUGAUGCAGCCAUGCCGCGUGUAUGAAGAAGGCCUUCGGGUUGUAAAGUACUUUCAGCGGGGAGGAAGGGAGUAAAGUUAAUACCUUUGCUCAUUGACGUUACCCGCAGAAGAAGCACCGGCUAACUCCGUGCCAGCAGCCGCGGUAAUACGGAGGGUGCAAGCGUUAAUCGGAAUUACUGGGCGUAAAGCGCACGCAGGCGGUUUGUUAAGUCAGAUGUGAAAUCCCCGGGCUCAACCUGGGAACUGCAUCUGAUACUGGCAAGCUUGAGUCUCGUAGAGGGGGGUAGAAUUCCAGGUGUAGCGGUGAAAUGCGUAGAGAUCUGGAGGAAUACCGGUGGCGAAGGCGGCCCCCUGGACGAAGACUGACGCUCAGGUGCGAAAGCGCGGGGAGCAAACAGG
This 429-nucleotide ribosomal RNA is filed under the name Chloroflexota bacterium. Its description in RNAcentral is "Chloroflexi bacterium partial 16S ribosomal RNA". It matches the Rfam family "Bacterial small subunit ribosomal RNA", at positions 355 to 776 of the family's 1533-position model. The record is from RNAcentral. Lineage: Bacteria; Bacillati; Chloroflexota.